This 484-nucleotide ribosomal RNA is filed under the name uncultured bacterium. Its description in RNAcentral is "partial 16S ribosomal RNA". It matches the Rfam family "Bacterial small subunit ribosomal RNA", at positions 30 to 507 of the family's 1533-position model. The record is from RNAcentral.
AUUGAACGCUGGCGGCAGGCCUAACACAUGCAAGUCGAGCGGAUGAAGGGAGCUUGCUCCUGGAUUCAGCGGCGGACGGGUGAGUAAUGCCUAGGAAUCUGCCUGGUAGUGGGGGAUAACGUCCGGAAACGGGCGCUAAUACCGCAUACGUCCUGAGGGAGAAAGUGGGGGAUCUUCGGACCUCACGCUAUCAGAUGAGCCUAGGUCGGAUUAGCUAGUUGGUGGGGUAAAGGCCUACCAAGGCGACGAUCCGUAACUGGUCUGAGAGGAUGAUCAGUCACACUGGAACUGAGACACGGUCCAGACUCCUACGGGAGGCAGCAGUGGGGAAUAUUGGACAAUGGGCGAAAGCCUGAUCCAGCCACGCCGCGUAUGUGAAGAAGGUCUUCGGAUUGUAAAGCACUUUAAGUUGGGAGGAAGGGCAGUAAGUUAAUACCUUGCUGUUUUGACGUUACCAACAGAAUAAGCACCGGCUAACUUCGUG